RNAcentral lists this ribosomal RNA (718 nucleotides) under uncultured bacterium. RNAcentral describes it as "bacterial SSU rRNA". It matches the Rfam family "Bacterial small subunit ribosomal RNA", at positions 9 to 742 of the family's 1533-position model. The record is from RNAcentral.
UAGUUUGAUCCUGGCUCAGAAUGAACGUUGGCGGCGUGGAUUAGGCAUGCAAGUCGAGCGAGAACCCCGCAAGGGGGGACAGCGGCGAAAGGGACAGUAAUGUGUAGAUAUCUACCCUUAGGCUCGGGAUAGCUGCGGGAAACUGCAGGUAAUACCGAAUAACAUCUCCGGAUCAAAGGUGUGAUUCCGCCUAGGGAUGAGUCUGCAUCCUAUUAGCUAGUUGGUAGGGUAAUGGCCUACCAAGGCAUUGAUGGGUAGCGGGUGUGAGAGCACGACCCGCGUCACUGGGACUGAGACACUGCCCAGACACCUACGGGUGGCUGCAGUCGAGAAUCUUCGGCAAUGGACGCAAGUCUGGCCGAGCGACGCCGCGUGUGGGAUGAAGGCCUUCGGGUUGUAAACCACUGUCAGAGGGGAGGAAAUGCAGGUGGGUUCUCCCAUCGGUUUGACCUAUCCUCAGAGGAAGUACGGGCUAAGUUCGUGCCAGCAGCCGCGGUAAGACGAACCGUACGAACGUUAUUCGGAAUCACUGGGCUUAAAGGGUGCGUAGGCGGCGCGGAAAGUAGGGUGUGAAAUCCCUCGGCUCAACCGAGGAACUGCGCCCUAAACUACCGUGCUCGAGGGAGAUAGAGGUGAGCGGAACUUAGGGUGGCAGCGUGAAAUGCGUUGAUAUCCUAAGGAACACCGGUGGCGAAAGCGGCUCACUGGAUCUCUUCUG